GGCAUAGCACAUGUAUCUUUCGCCUACAAUUGUAUUCAAAGGUCUUGUGCUGCUGGAUCAUGCACAACAGCAAGUGAGUGUCCAGCUAAUAGCACGAAUGGAUGUGAGGUAUCAUCUGUUGCCGGUGUGGUGUCACAGUCCUGCUCUCAAACAAAAUGCGUAUCAAGCUGGUUGAAUGUUUCCGGAAGUAUAAUCGCAAAAGAUUGUUGUUUCACUGAUAAAUGUAACGUCGAAUCGAGUAAGUUCAAAACCCCGUGUUAUAGCUUUACUCUUCAAUUUACAAAUAAUUAUUAUAAAAGUAUCUUGAUCUGGUUAUUGUAUACUGCUUGAGUACAUUUUGCUAGAUCAGAAUCGAGAUUGCCAAGAAUAAUCCGGUGUUAUAAAAACAUAAGACACUAUAAGAUUCAUAAGUUUCAGAUGAAGACCCUAUUUAAAUAAUUGUUAUACAUGUAUGUCGUACAUUUGCUGCUAAGGACACGUUAAACUGUAAAUUAUCAACAUAAAAUAACAAGAAUAAAG
Ruditapes philippinarum (Manila clam) is the source of this 519-nucleotide long non-coding RNA. RefSeq lists it as uncharacterized. NCBI's taxonomy places the organism in Eukaryota, Metazoa, Mollusca, Bivalvia, Venerida, Veneridae. The record is from RefSeq and is a predicted model, not a curated record. The transcript has 3 exons.